GCCAGGAAGAGGAAGAAAGAGAAUCUCUAAGAGUAGUGGGAACGGGAACAUGGAGGAAAGCAUGAAAACUUCUGUUUUUGUCUCAAUGUUUUCCUGAUGCCUCCCGUUCCUACGGUUUUUAGGUGCUCCUUCCUCUUCCUUAGGCCU
RNAcentral lists this microRNA precursor (147 nucleotides) under Setaria italica (foxtail millet). Its description in RNAcentral is "MIR2118 microRNA precursor family". It matches the Rfam family "MIR2118 microRNA precursor family". The record is from Rfam by way of RNAcentral. Lineage: Eukaryota; Viridiplantae; Streptophyta; Magnoliopsida; Poales; Poaceae.